This 55-nucleotide ribosomal RNA is filed under the name uncultured bacterium. Its description in RNAcentral is "partial 16S ribosomal RNA". The record is from RNAcentral.
GAGACCUUAACCCCGUUAAGGAUAGCCGUCGAAGGUGGGGCUCGUGAUUGGGGUG